This 253-nucleotide ribosomal RNA is filed under the name uncultured bacterium. Its description in RNAcentral is "partial 16S ribosomal RNA". It matches the Rfam family "Bacterial small subunit ribosomal RNA", at positions 524 to 776 of the family's 1533-position model. The record is from RNAcentral.
UACAGAGGGUGCGAACGUUGCUCGGAAUUACUGGGCGUAAAGCGCAUGUAGGCGGAUCCAUAAGUCGGGCGUGAAAUCCCCAGGCUCAACCUGGGAACUGCGUUCGAAACUGUGGGUCUAGAGUGUCGGAGAGGAUGGCGGAGUUCCUGGUGUAGAGGUGAAAUUCGUAGAUAUCAGGAAGAACACCCGUGGCGAAGGCGGCUCUCUGGAACGCAACUGACGCUGAGACGCGAAAGCGUGGGGAGCAAACAGG